Ciona intestinalis (vase tunicate) is the source of this 76-nucleotide non-coding RNA. NCBI's taxonomy places the organism in Eukaryota, Metazoa, Chordata, Ascidiacea, Phlebobranchia, Cionidae. The record is from Rfam.
AGCAAAUGAUGUUUCACGAUGGUCUUCAUAGCAUGUGUGCUUUGAUGAUAACAUAAACCACAACUGAUGCUUUAUU